Molecule: non-coding RNA, 89 nt
Filed under: unidentified
Description: Gallionellales bacterium Glycine sequence
Rfam family: Glycine riboswitch aptamer
About the family: This family represents the bacterial glycine riboswitch.
Source: RNAcentral
UCAAGACCAAUGGGAGAGCGUGGUUUCAAGACCACCGCCGAAGGCGUAACACCCGUAACCGCUCAGGCAACAAGAACUAUUGGCACAGG